This is a long non-coding RNA of Oryzias javanicus (javanese ricefish), 1779 nucleotides long. NCBI's taxonomy places the organism in Eukaryota, Metazoa, Chordata, Actinopteri, Beloniformes, Adrianichthyidae. The record is from Ensembl.
AUGAAGGCGGCGCCGUCUCUGCAGGACUCUUCAGCCCGGGACGUCCCGCACCGACACGGACAGAAAAGUGCUGGUUCACUUUGGAGAACGCGGCGCAGAACUUUGGUGCCGACGGGACGACCCGGUCCGAACGGCGCCGAAGAACCAAAGAAUUCAUCACUGAAUCCAGCUGUAGGUCAACCAGGCCAGAACCAGUUUCUCCAGAACCCUCUCUCCUCCAGAACUCUCUCCUCAGAACUCUCUCUCCUCCAGAACCCCCUCUCUCCAGAACCCUCUCCUCCAGAACCCUCUUCUCCAGAACCCUCUCCUCCAGAACCCUCUUCUCCAGAACCCUCUCCUCCAGAACCCUCUUCUCCUCCAGAACCCCUCUUCUCCAGAACCCUCUUCUCCAGAACCCUCUCCUCCAGAACCCUCUCUCCUCCAGAACCCUCUCUCCUCCAGAACCCUCUCCCUCCAGAACCCUCUUCUCCAGAACCCUCUCCUCCAGAACCCUCUUCUCCAGAACCCUCUCCUCCAGAACCCUCUUCUCCUCCAGAACCCUCUCCUCCAGAACCCCCUCUCCUCCAGAACUCUCUCUCCUCCAGAACCCUCUUCUCCAGAACCCUCUUCUCCAGAAUCCUUUCUCCUCCAGAACCCUCUCUCCUCCAGAACUCUCUCUCCUCCAGAACCCUCUUCUCCAGAACCCUCUCCUCCAGAACUCUCUUCUCCUCCAGAACCCUCUCUCCUCCAGAACCCUCUUCUCCUCCAGAACCUUUCUCCUCCAGAACCCUCUUCUCCUCCAGAACCCUUUCUCCUCCAGAACCUCUUCUCCUCCAGAACCCUCUCCUCCAGAACCCUCUCUCCUCCAGAACUCUCUCUCCUCCAGAACUCUCUCUCCUCCAGAACCCUCUUCUCCAGAACCCUCUCCUCCAGAACUCUCUCCUCCAGAACCCCCUCUCCUCCAGAACCCUCUCCUCCAGAACCCUCUACUCCAGAACCCUCUCUCCUCCAGAACCCCCUCUCCUCCAGAACCCUCUUCUCCAGAACCCUCUUCUCCAGAACCCUCUCCUCCAGAACCCUCUCUCCUUCAGAACCCUCUCUCCUCCAGAACCCUCUCUCCUCCAGAACCCUCUCCUCCAGAACCCUCUCCUCCAGAACCCCUCUCUCCUCCAGAACCCUCUCCUCCAGAACCCUCUCUCCUCCAGAACUCUCUCCUCCAGAACCCUCUCCUCCAGAACCCUCUCCCUCCAGAACCCUCUCUCCUCCAGAACUCUCUCCUCCAGAACCCUCUCUCCUCCAGAACCCUCACCUCCAGAACCCCCUCUCCUCCAGAACCCCCUCUCCUCCAGAACCCUCUCCUCCAGAACCCUCUACUCCAGAACCCUCUUCUCUAGAACCCUCUCUCCUCCAGAACCCUUUCUCCUCCAGAACUCUCUCCUCCAGAACCCUCUCUCCUCCAGAACUCUCUCCUCCAGAACCCCCUCUCCUCCAGAACCCUCUCCUCCAGAACCCUCUCUCCUCCAGAACCCUCUCCUCCAGAACCCUCUCUCCUCCAGAACCCUCUUCUCCUCCAGAACUCUCUCCUCCAGAACCCUCUCUCCUCCAGAACCCUCUCCUCCAGAACCCUCUCCUCCAGAACCCUCUCUCCUCCAGAACCCUCUUCUCCUCCAGAACCCUCUCCUCCAGAACCUUCGUUCCUUCAGAUUUGCUCACCCGUCACCCUCUCUCCCUCUCUCUCCUCCAGAACUCUCUCUCCUCCAGAACUCUCUCUCCUCCAGAACCCUCUCUCUCCUCCACUGA